CAGAGAGCAAGCUUCAGUACACAAACACAUGUACACACACACAUGUACACGAAGUCACACACAUGUACACAAAGUCACAAACACAUGUACACAAAGUCACAAACACAUGUACAGUCACAAACACAUGUACACAAAGUCACAAACACAUGUACAGUCACAAACACAUGUACACAAAGUCACAAACACAUGUACAGUCACAAACACAUGUACAUAAACACAUACACACACAAAUGUACACGAAGUCACACACACAUCAUGACAUGUACACAGUAACAAACACAAGUACACACACACGUAUACACAUACAUGCCAACUUUCCCGAUUUAGGCGGGAUCUUCCCGAUUUUACCCUCCGGUCCCGCUUUCCCGAUCGGGAAAGCAAAAUUACCCUAAAAUCCCGAUUUGAAAUUUUUUCCGACCAAAAUUUCCGAUUUCACGAUUGAAAACGAGUUUGAAAGCGGGAUAAUCGUGAAAUCUCGUGACCAGAAUUGGAAAUCCCGCGUCAUUUCUGAACAGGCCAAUCAGAAAUCGGGUCAAUAGUCAGCCAUUGCUGUUUACCUGUGACGCAUGGUGUCGGGUUGGUCUGCCUGUGUCGGGGUGUUUAUUGGACAGUACGAAGCAUGUUUUGAUAGUAAUUAAUCGGGAAGACGGAUUUCAAAUUGACCUAUCCUUUACACAAACGUGAAUGACAACGAUGAUAGUGUCACCACCAAACACUCGGACAUUCCGCCUCUCGCUGACAGCAUCCAAAAUUUGCAAUAAGAUGUCAUGGGUGCAAAGGUUUUGUUCGCAAACUUCAUAGCAGGGCAGAUCACUCCUUUUUUGGUUGCAAUGCAGAUUAUUCCACCAGUCUCUGCAAGCCCAUGUUUACAGACAAGCAAGAUCGCCUUUGCAGUCGUACCUAAAUGCAUGUGCUUUAAUUUAAAUUUUGAUAUAUAGACCGGCCAAUGUUUAUUGUAUGGUGUAAAAGGAUGCAACCUUAAAUAUUAUUUGAUAUUAUGUAUGUGACUUGUUGGAGAAGAUUUUUUGCUGAAUAGAUGAUUUUAAUAAAAUGUUAAUGUAUA
Ostrea edulis (European flat oyster) is the source of this 1063-nucleotide long non-coding RNA. RefSeq lists it as uncharacterized. The transcript is spliced from 2 exons. The record is from RefSeq and is a predicted model, not a curated record. NCBI's taxonomy places the organism in Eukaryota, Metazoa, Mollusca, Bivalvia, Ostreida, Ostreidae.